UCCAGACUCCUACGGGAGGCAGCAGUAGGGAAUUUUGCGCAAUGGGCGAAAGCCUGACGCAGCAACACCGCGUGAAUGUUAAGCCCUUCGGGGUGUAAAGUUCUGUCAAUAGGGACGAAUUUUGACUGUACCUAUAAAGGAAGCACCGGCUAACUCCGUGCCAGCAGCCGCGGUAAUACGGGGGAUGCAAGCGUUAUCCGGAUUUAUUGGGUUUAAAGGGUGCGUAGGCUGUGAGGUAAGUCAGCGGUGAAAUGCCCCCGCUCAACGGGGUGAAGUGCCAUUGAUACUGCCUUGCUGGAAUGCGGAUGCCGUGGGAGGAAUGUGUGGUGUAGCGGUGAAAUGCAUAGAUAUCACACAGAACACCGAUUGCGAAGGCAUCUCACGAAUCCGCGAUUGACGCUGAUGCACGAAAGCGUGGGUAUCAAACAGGAUUAGAUACCCCCGUA
This 446-nucleotide ribosomal RNA is filed under the name uncultured bacterium. RNAcentral describes it as "bacterial SSU rRNA". It matches the Rfam family "Bacterial small subunit ribosomal RNA", at positions 330 to 792 of the family's 1533-position model. The record is from RNAcentral.